RNA transcript from Cornus florida, 3334 nucleotides. RefSeq lists it as uncharacterized. The transcript is spliced from 3 exons. NCBI's taxonomy places the organism in Eukaryota, Viridiplantae, Streptophyta, Magnoliopsida, Cornales, Cornaceae. The record is from RefSeq and is a predicted model, not a curated record.
UUGUUUUCAUUUUUUUGGUUCCCCUUCCUAUUCCCAUUGCUAUAUAUUGGUAUGAGUCAAUUUUUAUCCAAUAAAUCAUUAUUAUCUCUUGUUUGCAUUUUCAUUAAUUCCUUACUUCGUUUAAGCUGACAAGAAGUUUGCAAUUUGUAGGUAUGAGUCAAAUUUUAUUUAAGAAAUUGUUAAAGAUAUUGAAAACAAAUUGAAUCACAAAGUAUUGAGUGUUUGUUCAUAUCCAGUUGGAUUAGAUAUUCGUAUAAAAAACAUUAAUUUGUGGUUGCAAGAUGGAUCAAACGAAGUCGGGAUAGUGGCAAUCUUUGGGAUGCAUGGAAUAAGGAAGACAACCAUUGCAAAAACUGUGUAUAACUUGACUUUUGACAGAUUUGAAGGUAGCAAUUUUCUUGCAAAUGUAAGAGAAACAUCAAAAGAACCAUGUGGUCUUCUCCGCUUACAAAGACAACUUCUUUCAGAUAUCUUAAAGCGGAAAGAAACAAAAAUUAGCACUGUUGAUGAAGGAAUCAUAAAGAUAAGAGAAGCUAUUUGCUGCAAAAGAAUUUUACUUGUUCUUGAUGAUGUGGAAAACCGAGACCAAUUAAAUGCAGUACUCGCAAUGAGGAGUGGGUUUCAACGAGGAAGUAAAAUUAUCAUAACAACUACAAAUGAACAAUUGUUAAAUGAACAAUUGUUGAAGGCACAUGAAAUGCACAAGCGGUAUAGAGUUGAAGGUUUAACUCAUGAUGAAUCAUUUCAACUCUUUAGCUGGCAUGCCUUUGGACAAGGCCACCCCAUUGAAGGAUAUAUGGAGCACACAAAAAAGGUUGUAGAGUACUGCAGUGGGCAUCCUUUAGCUCUUCAAAUUUUGGGUUCUUCUCUAUGUGGGAGAAGUGUAGAUGUGUGGGAAAGUGCAAUAAAGAAACUGGAAGCAAUUCCUGACUGCCAGAUCCUAAAAAAGCUCAAAAUAAGCUUUGAUUCUUUACAAGAUGACCAUGAUAAAAAUUUAUUUCUUGACAUUUCUUGUUUCUUUGUUAGAAUGGACAAAGAUUUCAUAAUUACAAUAUUAGAGGAAUGUGAUUUUUGCAUAGAGGUUGGGAUUCAAAAUCUCAUCGAUAGAUGUCUCUUAACAAUUGACAAACAAAACAAGUUGACAAUGCCUCAGUUGAUUCAAGAUAUGGGAAGAGAGAUUGUACGCAAAGAAUCACCUAAGGAACUUGGGGAGCGUAGCAGAGUGUGGCACCAUAAGGAUGCCUUAAAUGUAUGAAGAGAAAAAACCGUAAGAAACAUGCCCCUCAUGUCUUUUUUAUUUUUAUUUUUUUAAAUUUUUUUUACUAGUCUGUUAAUUAUCAACCUCUCUUAUCAGGGCACGGAAAAGAUUGAAGGCCUCAGCCUAAAUUUGCACGUGUCUAGGCAAGAUUGGCCUGCUCAGAAUUUCUUUGGUUUAGAUUAUUCAAAAAGACGUCAUUCUGAAGAUUUUCUUGACAAAUUAACAUUUCCUUGUGUAAGCAAUUCAUCAAAGCGCCGUCGUUUAGGUGUCUUCUCUUGGUGCCCAAUGAAUUUUGCCACGACAAAAUCAUUGUCCACAUCAAAGGAAGUAUACUUAAAAGCUGAUGCAUUUUCAAGGAUGCACAAAUUAAGAAUACUCCAUCUCAACAAUGCAUUUGUAACCGGAGAUUACGAAGAAUUUCCAAGGAAGUUGAGAUGGUUGCGUUGGCGAGGGUUUCCUUUAAAAUCGAUACCCAAUGAGUUCAUUUUAGAGAGCCUAGUCGCUCUAGAUAUGCGAAAUAGCUGUUUGAAACAAGUUUGGAAGGGAAUCAAGGUGCUCCCAUCAUUGAGAAUCCUCGACCUUAGUCAUUCCCAUGGCCUUACAAAUACGUCUAAUUUCUCAGAAGUCCCAAAUCUUGAGAGAUUGCUUCUUAAAGAUUGCAUAAAUUUGAUCGAGGUUCACGAAUCCAUUGGGAAGUUAGAGAGACUUGUUCUGUUAAAUCUAAAAAGGCUGCAAGAAUCUUAGGAAUCUUCCUAAAAUUGAUCAGCUAAAAUCUCUUGAGAAACUCAUCCUCUCUGGUUGCUCAAAUCUUGACAAGUUGCCGAGAGAGCUAUGCGAGAUGGAAUCUUUAAAGGUUCUUGACGCAUAUGGUGUUACAAUAAAACAACUACCCAGCAGUGACAUAGAAUCAUGGCAUUCACGCUGGUUCUCUUGGGUUCCUAGGCCAAGAAAAUCUUCAGAAUCGAUUAGUCGUUCACUGCUUUGCUCGCCACGCUCAUUUGUAAGCUUGAAUCUUGCAAACUGCAAUUUGUCAAAUGAUGCCAUUCCGAGGGAUCUUGGGAGCCUGUCCCUGUUGAAGGAAUUGAAUCUAGGGGGAAAUCCAAUCAGUAGCCUUCCAGAGAGCAUCAGGGGACUUGCCAUGCGCAACUCACUUGAAUGAGUAGGGUGUGAAAAACUCCAAUUGCUUCCAGAGCUACCAAUGAGCUUAGAAUGGUUGGAGUUAGGCCAUUGUACGUCACUGGAAAUAAUGAUCAAUCUACCAAAACUAAAGAGACGACCGUACGUGUAUGCGUGGCAAUGUGGCAAACUAGUAGAGGCUCAGAACUGGUUCAGGUUAGAACCCAUUCAAAACAUUGAUGCAGAAAUGAUCAAGAAUUUGGGAUUGGUUGAGUUGGAAUCCAUAGGAAAGGUUGACAUGAAAUUUUACAAUUACCUGACAGAUACGCACAAUAUUGGUCCCAUCCAGUGUAUGAAUGUGGAAUAGUGAGCAUAUUUCAUCCUGGAAAUGAGGUUCCAUGUUGGUUCAGCAAAAAGAGUAGAAAGUCCUCCAUAUGUUUCAAUGUUCCUUCACUUCCUAAUCUCAAGAUCCGAGGCUUGAAUGUAUGCAUUGUUUAUGCGGAUGAUUACUCUUCCACCAUGAAUACCUAUAUUACCAGUCCAUUUGCUAUUGAAAUCUUCAAUAAGACGAAGGAUGUGCAGUGGGUCUAUUUCCCAGCGUGUGUAGGGAUUCCAGAAGAAGGGGAAAAUAUGAAAUGGUCAAGCCUUGGGAAGAUUGGGAAUCAGUUGGAAGUUGGUGAUGAAGUGGUGGUUUCAGCUAUGGGUGUCGGAUAUGAAGUAAAGGAGAUAGGAGUGGACAUUGUGUAUGAAGAAGAGGAGAAGGAUACCCAGCUUAAUAACUAUACUUCUUCUCCUGAUUUAUCACCAUACCAGGUUUCCCAAGGUCGAUACGACCUCCGCUAUUAUUAUAUACAUCCGUUCUGGCUUAUAUCCUCUUCGUAUGACUUCAUAUUUGGAGACACCUCUCAAGACAUAUAUACUUUCUCUGCCAUUAUGGCGGUUAUGCUCGCUUGACUUCGA